GACGAACGCUGGCGGCGUGCUUAACACAUGCAAGUCGAACGGAAAGGCCCUGCUUUUGUGGGGUGCUCGAGUGGCGAACGGGUGAGUAACACGUGAGUAACCUGCCCUUGACUUUGGUAUAACUUCAGGAAACUGGGGCUAAUACCGUAUAGGAGCUCCUGCUUCUUUGUGGUGGUUGGAAAGUUUCGGCGGUUGGGGAUGUACUCGCGGCUUAUCAGCUUGUUGGUGGGGUAGUGGCUUACCAAGGCUUUGACGGGUAGCCGGCCUGAGAGGGUGACCGGCAACAUUGGGACUGAGAUGCGGCCCAGACUCCUACGGGAGGCAGCAGUGGGGAAUAUUGCACAAUGGGCGGAAGGCUGAUGCAGCAACGCCGCGUGCGGGAUGACGGCCUUCGGGUUGUAAACCGCUUUCGCCUGUGACGAAGCGUGAGUGACGGUAAUGGGUAAAGAAGCACCGGCUAACUACGUG
RNAcentral lists this ribosomal RNA (468 nucleotides) under uncultured bacterium. RNAcentral's name for it is "partial 16S ribosomal RNA". It matches the Rfam family "Bacterial small subunit ribosomal RNA", at positions 28 to 507 of the family's 1533-position model. The record is from RNAcentral.